Molecule: ribosomal RNA, 421 nt
Filed under: uncultured bacterium
Lineage: Bacteria
Description: partial 16S ribosomal RNA
Rfam family: Bacterial small subunit ribosomal RNA
Source: RNAcentral
AAUAUUUGACAAUGGGCGAAAGCCUGAUCCAGCCAUGCCGCGUGUGUGAAGAAGGUCUUCGGAUUGUAAAGCACUUUAAUGUGGGAGGAAGGGUGGUAGGUUAAUACCAUGCACUUUUGAGGUUACUAACAGAAUAAGCACCGUCUAACUUCGUGCCAGCAGCCGCUGUAAUACGAAGGGUGCAAGCGUUAAUCGGAAUCACUGGGCGUAAAGCGGGAGUAGGUGGUUCGUGAAGUUGGAAGUGAAAGCCCCGGGCUUAACCAGGGAAUUGCUUUCAAAACUGACGAGCUAGGGUAAGGUAGAGGGUAGUGGAAUUUCCUGUGUAGCGGUGAAAAGCGUAGAUAUAGGAAGGAACAUCAGUGGCGAAGGCGACUACCUGGACUGAUACUGACACUGAGGUGCGAAAGCGUGGGGAGCAAAC